GUCCAGGGAUGGGAAUCGAACCCACAGUGUUCCGCUUACCGGGCAGAUGCCAUGUCCACUAAGCUACCCUGGA
Molecule: non-coding RNA, 73 nt
Organism: Cordylochernes scorpioides
Lineage: Eukaryota; Metazoa; Arthropoda; Arachnida; Pseudoscorpiones; Chernetidae
Source: the annotation of a GenBank genome assembly